RNAcentral lists this long non-coding RNA (886 nucleotides) under Rattus norvegicus (Norway rat). Its description in RNAcentral is "long non-coding RNA NONRATT021742". The record is from RNAcentral. Lineage: Eukaryota; Metazoa; Chordata; Mammalia; Rodentia; Muridae.
AAUCAGGAGUCGGGUGUUGGAAAAGCGCCAGUUGUCACGAGAUUUGUAACCCAGGCUGAAAUGUCCUGUGCUUGCAUUUUGACCUUUGUCUAGCACCCACGGCUGGCCUGCCUUCUCUGCCUCAGCUCCUCCUGACUGGCGUCCUUGCGUUUGGAUCUGUGCUGGGAUUGGUUCUGAGACAACAUAAACACAGCGUGACUCAUGGAUUUGAAGAAGUGUAAGGGUGAAGAACGUGAAGUCAUCAAGGUUAGGAGAAGCAAUGCCAGCGAUGAACAUUGGACUUCUAAUCACGUUCAAGGAGAGAUGAUUCCAUUCAUUUUAUAAGGCUUUCACCCGAUUCUCGGUAUCGUGUCGGUGCGGGCAUGGGGCACUGACAAAUGGAGGUUCCACCGAGAUUUGAACUUUGAAUCCAGUGAUCCGAGAUCAGAAAGACAAGGUCUCCUGACAGGACGUCCUGGGAAGCCAGCAAAGAAGCAGGGACUUAUUGGGGAUGCUGCAGGAGUAUGCCAGCUGCCAGAGGUGGUUGGUGAGACUUGCUGAUCCUGGGAGCAUGAAGAUUCCACUCUCGUGGUUCGGGUCCCUGGAGUCAUUCCUGUGCCCUUGGAGGAAGAUAGAGGAUUCCCCCUCAUCUUUUGUCAUUUUGGCAUUGCUGCAGUCUUUGUUACCGCCACUGUGUGUCCCAUCCCACCGCGGCCUGCGCCCCAACCCUCUGUGCACUGCUACUUGCCAGAGAAGACUGGACUCCAGCAGUUACCCCUGCCCUGACUGGUGUUGUCAUUUUGCAGUCUGUAGCUUCACAGGAAUGCCAUGUGCAUGAAGCUGCUGUGGACUGGGUAACUCUGCCCUGGUUGUGCGGAUCUCAGACAUGGUUCCAUUGCCUGCCGAU